This 35-nucleotide non-coding RNA is filed under the name unclassified sequences. The record is from RNAcentral.
ACGGAGUAACCCGAAAAGCCAUAAGUGAGUAGGGA